Molecule: unclassified non-coding RNA, 310 nt
Filed under: Hevea brasiliensis (rubber tree)
Lineage: Eukaryota; Viridiplantae; Streptophyta; Magnoliopsida; Malpighiales; Euphorbiaceae
Source: RNAcentral
GGUACAAAUAGCUCUGAUUAUGUGGCUAACAUGCAUGAUGAGGAAACCUGAUCUUGACUAAAUUUUCUAAAGGGCUUGGAGUUGAUAGGCUUCGAUCCACCUGAAAAGUGAUGAAAUCAGAGAUUAGAAGGGAGUAACGUGAUGAUGCAUGUUGAUUUGAAUGUGGAGAUAGUUAAAUCAGUUGUAACCAACACUUAUCUCAUAUUAUAAUCUCAAUAACUAAAUCUCUUGUAUAAAAGGCUUUCAUACCAAAGGAAAAAGAUAGAAUGAAAAUUCUCCAAGAAAUCUUAAUUGAGUUGCUCCCCUUCAG